Molecule: ribosomal RNA, 208 nt
Filed under: uncultured bacterium
Lineage: Bacteria
Description: partial 16S ribosomal RNA
Rfam family: Bacterial small subunit ribosomal RNA
Source: RNAcentral
UUCAGAUUGCAGGCUGNAACCCGCCUGCAUGAAGUCGGAAUUGCUAGUAAUCGCGGAUCAGCAUGCCGCGGUGAAUACGUUCCCGGGCCUUGUACACACCGCCCGUCACACCAUGGGAGCCGGUAAUACCCGAAGUCAGUAGUCCAACCACGUGAGGACGCUGCCGAAGGUAGGAUUGGCGACUGGGGUGAAGUCGUAACAAGGUAUC